RNAcentral lists this ribosomal RNA (253 nucleotides) under uncultured bacterium. RNAcentral's name for it is "partial 16S ribosomal RNA". It matches the Rfam family "Bacterial small subunit ribosomal RNA", at positions 524 to 776 of the family's 1533-position model. The record is from RNAcentral.
UACGGAGGGUGCAAGCGUUAUCCGGAUUCACUGGGUUUAAAGGGUGCGUAGGUGGGCAGGUAAGUCAGUGGUGAAAUCUCCAAGCUUAACUUGGAAACUGCCGUUGAUACUAUCUGUCUUGAAUAUUGUGGAGGUGAGCGGAAUAUGUCAUGUAGCGGUGAAAUGCUUAGAUAUGACAUAGAACACCAAUUGCGAAGGCAGCUCGCUACACAUAUAUUGACUCUGAGGCACGAAAGCGUGGGGAUCAAACAGG